GAGUAUCAACCUCCUCAUGAAAAACCACCACCAGAGUAUCAGCCACCUCAUGAGAAGCCACCACCAGAAUACCAACCACCUCAUCAAAAACCGCCACAUGAGAAGCCACCGCCAGAGUACAAACCGCCUCAUGAGAAGCCUCCACCAGAGUACCAACCACCUCAUGAAAAGCCACCAGUGUAUGAACCUCCUCACGAGAAGCCACCACCAGUGUAUGAACCUCCUCACGAGAAGCCACCACCAGUAUAUGAGCCACCUCAUGAGAAGCCACCACCAGUGUACGAACCACCUCAUGAGAAGCCACCACCAGUGUAUGAACCACCUCAUGAGAAGCCACCACCAGUGUAUGAACCACCUCAUGAGAAGCCACCACAUGAGAAACCACCACCAGUGUAUGAACCUCCACAUGAGAAACCACCUCAUGGAAAGCCACCACCAGUAUAUGAACCUCCACAUGAGAAACCACCACAUGGAAAGCCGCCACCAGUAUAUGAACCUCCACAUGAGAAACCACCACCAGUGUAUGAACCUCCACAUGAGAAACCACCUCAUGGAAAGCCACCACCAGUAUAUGAACCUCCACAUGAGAAACCACCACAUGGAAAGCCGCCACCAGUAUAUGAACCCCCUUAU
RNAcentral lists this long non-coding RNA (633 nucleotides) under Glycine max (soybean). RNAcentral describes it as "long non-coding RNA (GMAX_LNC002298)". The record is from RNAcentral. Lineage: Eukaryota; Viridiplantae; Streptophyta; Magnoliopsida; Fabales; Fabaceae.